CGGGACGUGGGCGGGCCGGGGGCGCGUCAGCAGCUGCGCUCUUCUCUCCACAGUGCCGCCAGCCCCCAGGUAUCCGGGCAGCUCCCGCCCUGGCGGGGUAGGGAAGCCAGUCUCCCGCCAUUAGUGGCCCUGAAAUGGGCUGUGGAUCCCAGCCCCCCGGGCAGGGCGCUACCCCUUUUGCUGGCGGGUCGGGGGCAUACGCCACCGUCGCCAUGUGCGCGGAGCCCAUCUGGAAGCCCCGGGGUGACCAUUGAAACCCCUCGGUUCAGACUCACUGCUGAUCCUGGCCUCAGCGGUGAGGAAGGAUGGGGCUAGGAAGAGCCGCACCCUCUGCUGUUCGUGACCCAGCUGGGUGCCCCCCCCCCUCCCCUCAAGUCUUCCCUGUCUCUGAGGAGUCUGGGGGACGGCGGGUGGGCCUCACAGGCCGCCCCCUUCCUGAAGGACAGUGUGCGUCUCUCAGGAGAGCCGAGAGGCGCUGGGAGGGUCCCCUCCACUGGAGCAGCUCCCUCCUGCCCCGACCAGCCACACCUGUGUGUCAGCGGGGAGGUGCGACACGGCCGCGUGUGUCACCGCUGCGACCAGCCCGGCGGGCCGAUCUAGGACUCUGAAAGGGGGGUACACAUGGGGAGGUUCGGUGGGUGUGGGCCUGUCACACUGCAGUGUUUUCAGAGCCGGCUGGGGUCUGAGCACUCGGAGCAACCCCCUUGAGACCUAAGGAUGGAGGAGACUUGAUCAAGAAAAGGGGAGCCUGCAAUGCCAGCUGGAAGGAGCAUUUUGAAGAGCCUGUUUUUUGAUAAGAGUGCUCUCAACUCCAGCCUGCAACACCAGGUCAGGCACCCCCAGCCCUUGGCGAGAUGUGGCAUAUGUUUUUCAUAGAUUGUAAGGGGCCAGAAGGGACCUUGGAAGAUUAUCGGGUCCAGCCCCCUGCACCAAGUAGGAAAGACAGCUGGGGUCAGGUGACCCCAGCAAGGUCCAGUACCCAACUUCCAGUACCCAAUUUCCUGGGUAGGCGAUUGCACCACCUCGGAAGGGGGCUUAUUCCACAAUCUGGACACCCUGACUGUGAAACAGUUUUUCCUAAUGUUGAUCCUGAAUCAAUUUUCCAGGAGUUUGUGGCCAUUACUCCUAGUUUGCCCCUUGGGUGCCCUGGUGAACAGUUGCUCACCAAGCCUUUGAUGUACUGCUACCAGGCCCCCUCUCAGCUGUCUUUUCUUCAGGCUGAAGCAGGUGAAGAACAAUAAGGCAUUGAGCUGAUGAAAUUCCUGCCAAAAUCUUCAAGUAGGGGGAAAGGAGCUCAAUCACAGCUCCACGCCCUCAUCUUCAGGAUUUGGAACGACAAGGAAAUCCCAGAUGACCUCAGGGAUGCCAUGAUUGUGACAGUCUUCAAGAAAGGAGACAAGCCCACCUGUGGAAAUUAGAGGGAUCUCCUUGCUAUCCAUCACAGGAAAGAUCAUUGUGAGAGCCGUCUGCUUUCACUAGCUGAAGAGCUCCUCCCAAGAUCUCAGUGUGGGUUUAGGGCAUCAGGAGACACAACUGACAAGAAUUUUAUCAUCAGCUGCAGGAAAAUUCCUGGUAACAGGAGCGAAGAUUGCACCAGGCACACAAUCCCCCAUGUUCAGAGUGGCUCACUAUUGGGGGAGAGACUGACACAAAUGUACAUCACCUUCACCUGGGAUUUAAUACGGUAAGAAAUUGACUCAAAAUCAGUUAGGCUACUGGUGAACCGAGACCACUGCUCAUCAUGUUGUUAUUCUCUGUAGCCUGUCUUAUACUGCUCCAUUGUUUUUUUUCUUGUGUCUUGUACUUUAAUUGUGUACUGUUUAGGCAGGGACAGGGGUUUUUUGUGUUUCUAUAUGACACAGCGCAGUUCAUGACUACAGCUUCUAGGCCUGAUGACCAUAUGAAAAAUGAUAGCUUAAGCUUCCAAAAGAGAUCUAAGAUGCAGCAUUAAUGAGCUGAUUUAAAUUCACAAAAUGCAAAUAAAAAACAUCGCAUCUUUUGCAGCAGAAGAGAUAAGACUUGGCUAUAAUGUCUGUAAAGGGGGUUCACUAAGGGUGCUGAACAGGGACAGACCCCAAAGUAAAUCGUAGUGUUGCCAGCCUUGGCUGUUUUCAGGGGGCCUAAGCCAGCUGCAGGGAUUUGGCUAACGAAGGUUCACUUAACGAUCACUCAAAAACAGGCUUUUGUGUGAUCUUCACGAAGUAAACCUUUGCAGAUGCUACAAGUAGCCUGCUCAAGUAAGUAAAAGAAAGUAGGUGGCAUGUCCAGCGAACUCAGUAGUGAAAUCAAAUUAAACAGAGCAAAAGGCCUGAUGAGAAAAAUCACAUGAGAAGAUAAACAAACCAGACGUAGCAGACUUAGUUUCAACUUAAGAUUGUUAGUGGUAGUGACUGAUGUAAGCAAAUGUGCAGAUGUAGUUGUGCUAUAACAGGUAUACACCUUUACUCAGUGCCUUAGGUACGUUGCAAAAACAAAAGCAGCCUGGAAACAGAUGACCAUAAAUAAAGAGAAAAGAGGUCAGAGACAUUCCAGAAGAAUCAAGGAAAUGACUGUGAUAGACAAAUCACAAAUGGAUAUAUAAUAGUAAUAAUUCAAGAUAGAUAUUUCCAGUUGCCAGGAAAACCCUGCAUCUGACAUCUAUAGUUUUUAUGAUUAAAAUACUGAGAAAAAUCUUGUAUGCAAGAAUGAAUGCGUGUAUAACUGUUUGAGUCAUGUAAAGCAGGGAUGUCAGACGUACUGCCCAUGGACAAGAUAGAGGGACCAGGAAUUUGGGAGUGGGGCAUGGCCCCACUACACACCUGUGUGGGUGACAGGGGGCAAAUAAUGGCUGUGGUAACCCCUACAGCUGCCACCACAACUGCUUGGCCCAACACUGCUCCCAUAUGAGGAUCCAGCCCAGGGGCCAAGGAAGCUUGACACCCCUCACAUAAUGGACUACUUGCAUGCUUUCACACUGAAAAAAGCCUGUGUGAAUUAUAGACAUGUGAAAAUACUAUCUGCUGGUUUGGUUUGGUUUGGGAUUUUUGCAAGUCUGUCAUUUAAAAGCAAUUACAUUUGUUUCCUUUCAAAUUUGUUCAAACAAACAUGGCUCCUGUUUGGAGAUCUUGCAUGCAUGGCUUCCACUUUCCAAAACAAAUGUGCUCAGCUGUGCUAGAGUACCAGAAGGAAGUAUAGGAAGUGUGUCAGUAAAAAAAAACAAAACACAGCAAGGACAGCAAUUGCUUGAAAGAUUUAAUGCAGGGGUGCAAUUCAGCCCAGGCCCUGGCCCAGAUCCAAACCUGGCAGCAAUGGAGAAGCAAGUGGCAGCAGGACCAGCAAAGACAAGCAAAGCAGCAGCAGGGCCACUGGGGCCGUGGCAGUGCAGCCCUUUCUCUCCCUGUUGCCAUGUGCACAACAGGGCCCCAUAGCCUCAGAUUCUGCAACAGGCCCUGCCCCUCACUAGGCCUGCCCCCAGAUUUCCUGACCUACCACAAGUCCCGUGUUCCAUGGACUGCACGUUUGACACCCCUCAAUUAGUGCAUUGUGGUUGUUCUUGCAACACUAAUGCAUCCUCAAAACAGCUACUUGGAUGUUUUCACUUAAGCAGGGCCGUCUAAUGGGCAGCCUGCAGGCCAUGCGCAGUUCCUGGUUAACUGGAAGUUGACAGCCCUGACUUACAAUAUGUGUUCUUUCGGUCUGAAGCAUCUGUUUCAUGACAUCCCAAUGCCUGUUGCUGGAAACAGGGUCUUGGAGAACAGACAAAUACAAGAUACUGCAGAUUGAGAGGUGGAGUGGAGUUAGGGACCAACUUGUGUUGUGACUUCUGAUCAGUCCUGUGGAAAAAUUGUUGAUUGAGCUGGUUGUGCUGGAGCUGAGCAACAGAUGUUGACUGACAUUUUUCAGAAGUUAUCAGAACACCUUACAAUGUGAAUGAGUUUCUCGCUGUUCCCCACAGGGUCCCAUACCAAAUGUAUAAAUGAGGAGACCAAUCCACAAAUAGAUUAAGUGACUUGUUCAGGGUCACACAGGAAGUCUGUGACAGAGCUAGGAACUGAACACAAAUAGUCCCACUUCACUGCCUUAAAUCGGAGCACCAUUAAAACUUCCUCUCCUGCUUCCUCUCUCCCAAUCUUUAUUUCCUCAUUCCAGAUAGUAGUAAAAUAAAUGGUGAAUCCUGUUCAUCUAAACUUCCUUCUCUUCUGCUUAUGCCUGCUGAGUUUUACGUUCGUUUUAACCAGAAGUUUCAAUGUGAACAUUUUAUGGUGUUUCUUAAAUUUAGGGGUUUAAGUGCACGACUGCUAACAAAGUGCCAAAGAGAAGCAAAUGUAACAAAAGUCCUGCUGGACCCCACUGCCCGCACCCUUCCAGGUCGAAACCGACCCAUCCACCACGACUCUCUGGGUGCGACCCUCCAGCCAAUUCGCCACCCACUGGACUGUGUAGUCAUCCAAGUAAGUACUUAGCAGUACUUUAAGUCACGGCUUAAAGUACUGCUAUAGUUGAAGAUUUUCUUCUUUUUUUUGGUUUCACAAACCAUGAUUUAACUCGAAGUCUUGAAAAGAAAUUUAGAUGAAAAGUUGUCUUUGUUUACAACUAGCAUUAGCUUUGUCUAGAAACUGAAAUAUAUGUACGAAUUAGUCACUUCAAAUGAGAACUGAGAAAGCUCCUGCUCCAGGUAUGUAGCCCUUUAUGAUGACAAGGAAGACAAGACACAGCAUCCUUGAGCAUCUUGAAAAUAAAAGGAAAAGAAAUUAAAAAUCAUAUCACCAAGAAAGUACAUAAGUGCCUUUUGAGGCUCAGAGAGAAAUCUGGCAUGAGGAAAAUAUGGUUAUACUAAAACUAUUUGCAUAAUGUUUACCAGAAGUUAAAAAUAGUCAAAAGCAACUGCUUGGGUGUAGUUCCAGGGUUAGGGAAUACAAUUUGACAGCAGUUGGUCUGCCAAUAUACUGUAUAAUGCUUAUGUAGCAAUGUAGCCUACAAACAACUUGUUCAUUUGAGAUUUAGAGAUUUAAAUAAAAUUAGGGAGUUCUAAUCAUAAACCAGAUACAAUUGGGAGGAAAUGACAGAGAUGAAAAAUGCUGUAGAAGUUGAGCAUAACUUUCGUAUGUGGAUGUUUUUGUUCAUUUAGCCUCUAAACAAGUCACCAAAGUCUUUGGAUUUAAAAGAAAUAUAAAGUUUUCCAAUCUGGUGCUGAAACCAAAUGGGAAGGAUUAGCUACACUUGACUUAGCAGAAGGGAUCUUGGUUUUCUGUUUAAAAAUUGCAAAAUCUCUGAUUAAAAAUGCAAAUUCCCCGAUUAAAAAAACCCAAAAACCAUGAUUAAAAUGAAACACCAUUACAGGCACUCCUCAGACUUACAACACAAUUGGUUCUUAAAAAAUGCGUCUUAAGUCAAAACAUUGUAACUUGGAACCAGUUUUCCCAUAGGAACAAUGUUAUAAAUGGGGGAUUGGCUUCUUUGCCACAGUCAACACAGCUGCAUCCAGCUGGUAAGUCUGUUGUGGGGGAGAGGAGUCGGGAGGGGUGUGGGGGCCCAGAUCAAUACCCCUGCAAUGAGAGAGGAAUUGGGGCUGGGACCUGGGCUGGGGGAAGGUCUGCCCCCCCACAGCCUCCACUCUGCUGCCCACCCUGCCCCGAUCUGGAGGCACACAUCCCCCCCAUGCCAUGCUGCUGCUCACCCAGCCAGGGCAAAGCUGCUGCCUGUCCAGGAGGUGUGGGGAGGCCGAGCCAGCUCCCGCUGCUGGGUACCACUUGUCCGGAGGCAGUGCAGUGCCUCAGUCUCGCACUAGCCCUGUGCCAGCUGGGCGAGUGGCAGGGGGGCAUAACCCCUGCUCACAGUGCCUCCUGCCCAGUGCAGCCCCAGCCUUGCUCACCUGGUGCAGAUCCUGGGGAUCUGUACAUAUACAGGUAUCAGUUGAACACAAUGUUUUAGUGAUAUUUACAAUUUUAAAGCAGUUUGGAAACCUGCCAGUGCCUCAGUCACCAUCUUCUACACACACACACACACACACGCGCGCGGUUUAGUCCAUCUGUCUGUCUGUUGUCUGUAACACUCUUUACAUGUGAACAACUUGAAAACUGUAAGAGAGAGAACAUUUGUGUCUUCAGAGAAAUUUCUUUGCUAAACCUUAGCGCCUGUUUAAUGACCAUGUCAGGAAGAUUCGAACUUCCAGAACUGGGAAAAAAGUCAGGCCAGGGCUGUUUCUAUUGAGCUCCUCCCGGGAGGACACUGGGAGCCUGGCAUGGCGGGAAGGGUAGAAGGGUGUGGGGAGCAGCUAAGGAAAAGCAGGAACAGGGCAAAGACACGAGGCAGUGGGCAAGCAGCAGUGGCCCCAUCCCAAGCCCUGAGCAGGGAAGGAGGCACCCGGGGGUGGUGCAGAGGAAGCGCCGGGGUGUGGGUGGCUAUUGCAAGGUACAGAGCUCGGCUGCCCUUGCCCAGCAAAGAGGCACUCAGGUGGCAGCAUUGGUGGGUAUAUCUCCAGCCUGCUGCACAACAGCAAGUGCAGAAAGGGAUUGGUAUCUUCAAAUGUUCAGCCUAUUUAAGUUUUAUAAAUAUUUAAUAAAUAUAAAAAGUAAAAUCUGUUUGUUUUUGUUAUUUGAAAUCCAUCUGUCAUUCUUGAUGAGCAAUUCAGUAGUAAUAAAAUACAUUCUAAAUAUC
Long non-coding RNA from Alligator mississippiensis (American alligator), 6636 nucleotides. RefSeq lists it as uncharacterized. The record is from RefSeq and is a predicted model, not a curated record. The transcript is spliced from 2 exons. NCBI's taxonomy places the organism in Eukaryota, Metazoa, Chordata, Crocodylia, Alligatoridae.